Molecule: long non-coding RNA, 5473 nt
Organism: Rhododendron vialii
Lineage: Eukaryota; Viridiplantae; Streptophyta; Magnoliopsida; Ericales; Ericaceae
Exons: 2
Source: RefSeq, a predicted model, not a curated record
CAACUUCAGCUUAUUGCUGGGUAGAGCAAAAAGUAGGAACUGGGUUUUUUGUUUCUUUACCCAUUAUCUUAUUCUUGGACUCUAUUUCUCGUUCCAGAGACUCCUUCCAAAAAUCAAUCCUGAGCCACGGAAUAUUGAUUUCCUAAGUUGCUUGGUCUCUCUCAUUCUCGAUCAUCAGCUGGACCACUUUUGGGGCAGAAAGCAGGCACCUGAUUCCACACCGCAAUCAGUAUGCCUCUCUCUCUCUCUCUCUCUCUCUCUCUCUCUCUCUCUCUCUCUCUCUCAUAUAAACAAACACAGACUAUUACUCAUGUCAUUUGUGGUUGAAGAACUAUCCAACGGCUUCUAGGGACUGACCACAUACCAAAGCCUCCAUAUGUGGGUUCCAGUUUUUUACCAGAACUCUCUAGCGAACAUCCAACUCCUGAUUCUGAAGGCAUCGCCUGCAUGCGAGCUUGCUGCUCUGGUCUUGAAUUCUGGCGGGAAAUUGGUUCGGGUAAGAAACUAACAAAAGUAUGUUUUGUAAUUUACUACCGAAUCUAAUUUUGCUUGCAUUUGCUUCGUAAUGUGUUUCUCUUCAUUAAUAUUGUGUCUGCUACUAUGAGUCCUGUACGUUAUUUACUUAUUGUCAGAUAUUUUCAUGGACUUUUAUGCUUGCCUGCUUAGCUGUUGAUAUUUGAACGUUGACCUUUAUUUACCGAGUAACAUUUUGGUUUUGAUAAAACUGAGUUUAAUCUUCUGCCUGAGUUUGCUUAUCCUGUCAUAUGAAAUGUUAGCGUACAAGUUGUCAAUUGGAUUGGAAUGCCAAAUGGACCUGGGAUUAUUGAGCCAGUAUUGUAUACUUUCAGUCGACAUAAGUAUCUCCAUCUCCUUUUCGUGUUCCUUGGGCAGAUUGCGUAGGUUUUUUUCAGGAGAAUUUGGUUGUAGUUUGGGUGGUUGUGAUUAGGAACUUGUGUUUUGUUGCCAGCUGUUUGAUGUAGUUAUGCCAUUACGGCUGAGAUCUUAAUAGGAGUAGGUGCAGUAGCCAGUAGGUUGUCUAUGAAUCAAAGUUUCCUUGACUUUUAGCAUUGUUUCAAAGCAUGUGAUCCUGCUUUCUCUCGUGUCCUGGACUUUGAGCAAGAACCUCUGGUAGUUAGAUAAGAGAUAUGCUUUAACUUGGGUUCUCUUGAUGUCAUUUUUGCACUUCCACUGUAGAAAGUGGUGAGCUAGGAAUUGUUAGUAGUUUGAAAGUUGCACUAGUGUCCAAGUAAUAAAUGUAUAACCUAAAGUUCUUGGAAGGCCAUGGGCCCAUGAUGUAGAACAUUUGGAGGCAAUAACUAAAUGCUUCUGCAUGCUUGGAAUCAAUUUUGAUCCCUAACCUUGUCUCACAAGGUUGUACAUGUUGCUUCAUCUGAGAAAUGAAUUUGUUGAUUACAAGUAUUGAAAAGAAAGCUGAAUUUGUUGCAUUUUGAGUUUUCUUUGUAGAAUGGAUAUUUUCUUAACCUUCUUAUGGUGUUUAUGAGCGAGGGCGGACUGCGGAGCAAGGAUUUCCGCAUGGGUGGUGCCGACUUACGUCCCCUCUCAUGACCCCUUAAUCUUCAUCGUUUCCCUCCAUCAACCUGAAUAUAGUUUGCAUUGUUCUUUGAUUGUUUGUAUCACACAAUCAAUAGACCAAUCAUUCCAUACCAAUGUUGUUUGGGCAGUUUGAACUAUAACCUUGGAAGCACGUACACUAUCAACCAAACUUCGCAUAUCCGUUUCCGUCUCAUGACAAAACAAGUUUUGGAUACGUGUUGGACACACUUAAAUAUAUGUUUGAUGUUUCUUAUAUUUUAUUCUUGUUGGACUCAUAGGGGACACGUUAGUAAGAUAAUAGGACGUAAUACAAUUUCUAAAAAUGGGGCCAGAGUCGAACUCUCAUGGAUGAUUAGUUUUUGAAUACUUUUUUUAAGUGGUUAUGAUUUGUAUGUCCCUAAUAUUGACCUUAUUUGUGUCUCUUUUCCAGUUGUUUUUCCCACAUGAAUAUUUUCAAUACACCUAUAAAAUAUAUGUUCUAUAUCCAAUGUGUUCCCAAUUGAUUGGGACACAAGGCUCGGUUUUGUUUGGUUUGUGUCGAUGUCGCGUGUUCCAGCCUGAUUUGUCCUUACUGAUUGUGCAAAUGAGAAAUAUGGCUCUUUUCUAGAGUGAUGACUUUACUCUGCGUUGAAAACUUGACUUCGUUUUCAUGGAAGGCAUGCUUGUAAAUCAGUGACUUGCUUGAUAAGAGGUAGAAAAAGUGAGAGGUGACUGCUAGCCACAAGAAGUUAGCAUCAAGGUUGGCUUUUGGCCCUCAUCUUGUUAUACUUACUAACAGAUGUGCCUCUUUGAUAAAAAUUCUACCAAAGGAAUUGGACAUACAUGUGGCAAGCAUUUUUCUUAUAGAAGGAAUAUGGUUCCACUACUCUAAACGUGUGUCAUUACCUUCAAAGAAAGAUGGAUGUAAUCAUAAUUAAGGGUAUUUACUCCAAUCUUUGGAGGGCUAAGAGCUUUCAGUUAGAUCUUAUCCAUCCUAUUUCAACUCCCAACUGUUGGAGGGCUAAGAGGUUUUGAGGCCACCUAUCAUCAAUGCUCAAUUUGCUUCAGUUAAUUUUGAAAGUUUCUGGGAUUUGGCCUUAUCUUAUGCUGCCAUCCUAUUGCUGCUGCUUUCUCCAUCCAUUUGCUGCCAUCGUUGUUAUGCUAACUCCCAUCUGUGGAGGGCCAAGACCUUUCAGUUUUGAACAUAUCCAACCUCUCUUCAACUCCCAACUAUUUGAGGAGGGCUAACCGGCUAAGAGGUACUGAGGUCAAUCAUCAAUGCUUAGUUUUGCUCUUCUUUUUUUCUGCUAAUGCUGCUGAUCAACUUGUGAUUCGCUGCACUACUGCUGGAUUUUGUUAGCUGUUCUAUAUAUCCUGAGUCUGCCUUGUCUCUGAAGGAUCAGACCUUAUGGCAUGCCCCUUUCUUUCUCAGUCUGAUGCUAUGAAUUCCUUUUUUCAACUCCAAUUUCUUGGAGGGAUAAGGGAUGUUGUAAUCUGUCAUCAGUGUUGUGUUUCUGAGGUGAAAACUGGGAAUUUCUGUGACUUGCUCUGUCAUUCUGAGCUGCUGCUGCUGAUGAGAUCUGCUAUAUUUGGUGCCAACAAUUUGGUGAUUGACUACCUUUUUCGACUACUGAGGUUGCUAAUCUUAUCAGGCUUUGAAUCGGUUGUUUGGUUUGAGGUCUGAAGCUGCUAUCUGGUGCAUAUCUUUGGAUUUCGUUGGCUUAGUUUAGGUUCCAUCUUAAUUCUGUUUUUCUGGCCUACUGUUUUGGGCUGUUUUCUUUUCCAUGUUUCUCUCUUCCAAUUCUUUAUUGGAAGUCUUUUUCCCUAUCCCAUGUAUCAAUAUCAUGGUUUAGGUUUCUUUUUUCCUUGAUGUACCCUUAUCAAGUUUCUAAUGAAAUUCUUUUUGCCGAUCAAAAAAUAUAAAAAAAAUUAAGGGUAUUUUGAGACAUUGAUAAGGAACUUGUUCUUAUGUCUACAAUAUCAAAUGCAAUGAAAUGACCACUGUAAACUCGAGAAAUAUAAGGGGCGCCGUUGAAAGUAUUUUCACCAUUUGUAUACCACGUAGCCUAUAGUUUGUGGCAUAUGAAUGGAGUUUUUGUUAAAGACGGCACCCAGAAACGCCCCUGUAAGUUGUAGGUUUUUGGUUUUGAUUUGCUUUUUUUUUUCAUUUCUGGCCAACCUUUUUGUUUAUGGAAUGGUAGAAUUAUACUGUUCCUAUCUCUCUAAAGCCUUUGCUCCAUUGAUACUUGCAGGUGUCUUUAUGACUCGCUAUCUACAUCAUUUUAUUUCUUGAUUAGCCUUCAGUGACAACAAAUGAAAUUGAUAGAGCAAGUGAACCAAAUGAUUAUUAGUUCUGGUGCUUAUCCUUCACGUCUUGGCUAUGGGGGAUUUCGAGAGAGUGUAUGCACAUCAGUCAAUGAGUGCGUGUGCCCCGGAAUACCUGAUUCUCACCAAUUACAGGUAGUGCAGUUUCCCUGCCUAGUGCUGGUCACUUAAAUUCAAGCUGUUCAUCCCAAAUGGUCAUUCCUGUGCAGGAUGGUGACAUAAUAAACAUUAACAUGACAGUUUACUUAAAUCUAAGUUGCAUGUCUUGUUUGCUGACUACAUUCCCGUAAAUUGGUGAUCACAUUGACAUGAUCUUGUCCUGUGUGCUUGUGUAAUAAGAUGUUUCAGUUUCUUCAUAUGAAUUUUGUUCUAAAGUUAUUUUCUCAUGCAGAAAGCUCCCUUGAAAUCUGAAACUCUUACAGUGCUGUGGACAUUUUUUAUGUUUGUCUGUUGAGUCUUAUGGAAUAUAUAUACAUUUUGUGAAGACGAUAUAUAUUCUUGCUGUUCUUGAGGAUCCUUAGGCUUGAAAAAUUGCAAAAUUUUGCAUUUUUGCAAUUGGUCUGAAUCCAUCAUACGUUAAUCUUCAGGUAAUAGUGUAUAGUUUGGUCAUGUACCACGAAGACAGCUGUGCCCAUUGAAAAAGAGUGACCCUUUCUUGAAGGUUAUAUGCUACGGGAUGGGAUGACUAAAAUUAACUUCGUUAUGAAACAGAAAACAAAUGUCAGCGGUUUAACUGAUAUAAUGAUAUUAUAGCCCUUGAUAAAAAAAUGCAGUAGUGAAAGUGAUUGAUGUUAGCCAAAGCAAGUAUUUGGGAAUAUGUUGUUGAGUUUUUACUGAAUGUUUUUCCAGUACACGGUAUGAAUGCCUUUCUUUGGCACUUAGUUUUCCCAGUCUUUUACUUUUUUUGGUUUCUCCAUUGUUUUUUCGGAUAUGUUUGGUUUGUUGUUUUUCCAAUAUCAUGGCUAUCAACGAUCGUCGGGUUGCGGUCGUGUCGUUUGGGGGCCUGCUGCACAAAAUAACAAUUUGAUCAGGCUGGCAAUGUCGAGCUGUGCUGCAUAUGUUCUGAUCUAUUCUGCACAAUUGAGAGGUCCGAACAUGUGGUCAUCAAAUGUGUGCCAAUUGCACCAUAGCUCCGUGCUGCCACAACAAGCCUAACCCCUCUACAGCUGCUUCAAAGGCUUUGGUUUGCCCUUUUUGCCGAAGCAAGUUACCCAAUUAGUAGUUGCCGAGACGAAAAAACAAUACACAGUUGGAAUUGAGUCCAUCAAAGUCAAGGACAUCAAGAAAAUUUCAGAGUACAAGUGACGACGGUAGCUUCAAAGGGCUGUCCCGCAUUGGGUUCGUUUGGGAAGUUGGUUGGCCACAGUUCGUGGAAAAUCUCAAGCUGUAUGUGAUGAUUGAGGUUGUUAAGCCUUAAAAAUUUCUGCAGUUUUGGAUUCCCGUUGUAUCUGGAACUCCUUUAUUUUCUGGGUUUUUUUUUUAUCCGCCUUUUAUUUUCUGGUUUGUUAAUGCAAUUUAAAAGCAAUAUUGUAGUAAUGCAUUUUGAAAGCAUUGGAAGAACUAACAACGAUAUCAGUUUAAUGAGAAGUUCUUAUGGUAUUUGGUUUAGUUGGGC